AGAGUUUGAUCCUGGCUCAGGAUAAACGCUGGCGGCGCACAUAAGACAUGCAAGUCGAACGGACUUAACCAUUAGUUUACUAUUGGAGCGGUUAGUGGCGAACGGGUGAGUAACGCGUGAGUAACCUGCCCUUGAGUGGAGGACAACAGUUGGAAACGACUGCUAAUAUCGCAUAAGACCACAGAGCCGCAUGGCUCAGGGGUAAAAGGAUUUAUUCGCUCAAGGAUGGACUCGCGUCCAAUUAGCUAGUUGGUGAGGUAACGGCCCACCAAGGCGACGAUUGGUAGCCGGACUGAGAGGUUGAUCGGCCACAUUGGGACUGAGACACGGCCCAGACUCCUACGGGAGGCAGCAGUGGGGGAUAUUGCACAAUGGGGGAAACCCUGAUGCAGCGACGCCGCGUGAAGGAAGAAGGUCUUCGGAUUGUAAACUUCUGUUGUCAGGGACGAUAAUGACGGUACCUGACGAGAAAGCCACGGCUAACUACGUGCCAGCAGCUGCGGUAAAACGUAGGUGGCAAGCGUUGUCCGG
This 531-nucleotide ribosomal RNA is filed under the name uncultured bacterium. RNAcentral's name for it is "bacterial SSU rRNA". It matches the Rfam family "Bacterial small subunit ribosomal RNA", at positions 8 to 548 of the family's 1533-position model. The record is from RNAcentral.